GGACUGUAGCUCAGUGGUAGGGCGCUUGCCUAGCAAGAGUAAGGUACUGGGUUCCAUCUUCAGCACCACAUGAAAAAUAAAUAAAUAAAGGUAUUGUGUCCAUCACAACUAAAAAUUAUUUUAAAAAGGGGGAGGGCAGGGGCUGGGAUUGUGGCUCAGCAGUAAAGCGCUUGCCUAGCAUGUGCCAGGCCCUGGGUUCAAUCCUCAGCACCA
RNAcentral lists this transfer RNA (213 nucleotides) under Marmota monax (woodchuck). RNAcentral's name for it is "tRNA.Ala". Lineage: Eukaryota; Metazoa; Chordata; Mammalia; Rodentia; Sciuridae. The record is from RNAcentral.